GUUGGAUUUAUUGGGGGUGAGGGGGGAGAUAAGGCGGUGCGCCCCUCCUAGCCUCAAAAAAGGGGGACCCCUCUCCUUACAUGAUAUACCUAUUAAUAAUAUAUCGAUCCCUGAAAAUAUUCGUCUAAUAAUUCCGAUCAACAAUGAUUAAUGAUUUUAUCCAAUAUUGCCUAGAAUGUUAUAGAAAUUUAUUUUGCAAAAUUUUCUGUAUAGAUAUAUGAAAAAU
This is a non-coding RNA of Paramuricea clavata, 226 nucleotides long. The record is from the annotation of a GenBank genome assembly. Lineage: Eukaryota; Metazoa; Cnidaria; Anthozoa; Malacalcyonacea; Plexauridae.